This 671-nucleotide ribosomal RNA is filed under the name Shigella sonnei. Its description in RNAcentral is "partial 23S ribosomal RNA". It matches the Rfam family "Bacterial large subunit ribosomal RNA", at positions 518 to 1190 of the family's 2925-position model. Lineage: Bacteria; Pseudomonadati; Pseudomonadota; Gammaproteobacteria; Enterobacterales; Enterobacteriaceae. The record is from RNAcentral.
AAAGAACCCCGGCGAGGGGAGUGAAAAAGAACCUGAAACCGUGUACGUACAAGCAGUGGGAGCACGCUUAGGCGUGUGACUGCGUACCUUUUGUAUAAUGGGUCAGCGACUUAUAUUCUGUAGCAAGGUUAACCGAAUAGGGGAGCCGAAGGGAAACCGAGUCUUAACUGGGCGUUAAGUUGCAGGGUAUAGACCCGAAACCCGGUGAUCUAGCCAUGGGCAGGUUGAAGGUUGGGUAACACUAACUGGAGGACCGAACCGACUAAUGUUGAAAAAUUAGCGGAUGACUUGUGGCUGGGGGUGAAAGGCCAAUCAAACCGGGAGAUAGCUGGUUCUCCCCGAAAGCUAUUUAGGUAGCGCCUCGUGAAUUCAUCUCCGGGGGUAGAGCACUGUUUCGGCAAGGGGGUCAUCCCGACUUACCAACCCGAUGCAAACUGCGAAUACCGGAGAAUGUUAUCACGGGAGACACACGGCGGGUGCUAACGUCCGUCGUGAAGAGGGAAACAACCCAGACCGCCAGCUAAGGUCCCAAAGUCAUGGUUAAGUGGGAAACGAUGUGGGAAGGCCCAGACAGCCAGGAUGUUGGCUUAGAAGCAGCCAUCAUUUAAAGAAAGCGUAAUAGCUCACUGGUCGAGUCGGCCUGCGCGGAAGAUGUAACGGGGCUAAACCAU